GCACGCUACUUUGUUGGCCCCUGGGGAGGUGGUGCAGCCAGGCGGGUAAGGAGGACUCGCGCCAUCAGCGGGGUCUGAGACAUGGUGUGCCCAGUGGGCAGAGAAUAGGCCUGUGGUUUUUAAGAACCUCACUGAUAUCGAAUGUGUCUUGGAGUGAGAAAGUUUUUAAUGGAAAAGGAGCAAGAGAGAGUAAUGAAAUAAUUUGCUAAGUGCCUACUAUGUUCCAGGCAUUUUACAUCCACAGUCUCUUUCAAUCAACACGUCCAUGCGGAGGAGAGCUUCUUGUCGCCCAUUAUAAAGGCUGGGGAGAGACCGGGAAGAGCGAGAAGCUACACGCUGGGCUGCAGAUUGGGCCCUAGCGGGCUUGGAGCGUGGAUAUGCUGGCUGGCCCCCCUCCCCGGGAGUCACAGCUCUCGCCGGUCUCGCCACUCAGGCUCUGCCGGGUACCCAGGAGGCUUGC
Long non-coding RNA from Homo sapiens (human), 460 nucleotides. Lineage: Eukaryota; Metazoa; Chordata; Mammalia; Primates; Hominidae. The record is from Ensembl.